Long non-coding RNA from Salvelinus fontinalis (brook trout), 3433 nucleotides. RefSeq lists it as uncharacterized. The transcript has 3 exons. NCBI's taxonomy places the organism in Eukaryota, Metazoa, Chordata, Actinopteri, Salmoniformes, Salmonidae. The record is from RefSeq and is a predicted model, not a curated record.
CAAAUAACUAAUUUUAUUAUAUUUUAAUUUCGUGCCAAUAGAACAAACUCAACAACAACUGAACAAAGUUGUCUUGCACUAGCUGGCUACUACUGACUAGCUAGCAGUCUGGUGAGCUAGCCCUACCUGGCUACUGGCUGUAGUCAUACUAGCUAGUGUAAGUAAGUUAGUCCCUUCACAUGCUACAAGAUGAAUGCCAGGACAGUUAUCUGCUGAAGAAAGGACCUUUCACAUAGUUCAGUCACUCAGCCUUAUACAGUGGACGUGAUACUCUCAAGAUCCUGCACUACUGCCUCCCACAACACCAUGAGGAGAAGCAAUAAGCCUGUCCCCAUGACUGCCUGUAUGAGGGACAACUGGAUAGAAGGCUUGGACUUCAUCUGAGACCUUCAUCUCCUUCCCCAUCCUUCAAGGAAAGCUUUUCUUUACAUUUCCUGUUAGGCAUGAUGCAGGUGUGUCUCUCCAUCUCGCUCAUGUCAUGUGGUAUUACCUAUAGAUGACUACUAGACACUUUCAAAUUGUUUGCCUGUGAAUGGUUGUCCACAUCAGGCUAUUUACAGUGCAUUCGGAAAGUAUUCAGACCCCUUCCCUUUUUCCAAAUUUGGUACAUUACAGCCUUAUUCUAAAAUGUUCCUCAUCAAUGUACACACUGUGACAAAUCGAAAACAGAUUUUUUUAAAUGUUUGCAAAUGUAUUAUAAAUAAAAAACAGAAAUAUCUGAUUUACGUAAGUAAUCAGACCCUUUGCUUUGAGACUCCAAAUUGAGCUCAGGUGCAUCCUGUUUCCAUUGAUCCUUAAGAUGUUUCUACAACUUGAUUGGAGUCCACCUGUGGUAAAUUCAAUUGAUUGGACAUGAUUUGGAAAGGCACACACCUGUCUAUAUAAGGUCCCACAGCUGAAAGUGCAUGUCAGAGCAAAAACCAAGCCAUGAGGUCAAAGAAAUUGUCCAUUGAGCUCUGAGACAGGAGUGUGUCGAGGCACAGAUCUGGGGAAGGGUACCAAAACAUAGCAUUGAAGGUCCCCAAGAACACAGUGGCCUCCAUCAUUCUUAAAUGGAAGAAGUUUUGAAAUAUCAAGACUAUUCCGAGAGCUGGCCUCAUGGCCAAACUGAGCAAUCAGGGUAGAAAGGCUUUGUUUAGCGAGGUGACCGAGAACCUGAUGGUCACUCUGGCAGAGCUCCAGAGUUCCUCUGUGGAGAUGGGAGAACUUUCCAGAAGGACAACUAUUUCUGCUGCAAUCCACCAAUCAGGCCUUUAUGGUAGAGUGGACAGAUGGAAGCCACACCUCAGUAAAAAGGCACAUGACAACCCGCUUGGAAUUUUCAAAAAGUCACCUAAAGGACUCUGACCAUGAGAAACAAGAUUCUCUGGUCUGAUGAAACCAAGAUUGAACUCUUUGGCUUGAAUGCCAAGCGUCACGUCUGAAGGAAACCUAGCACCAUCCUGUGGGGAUGUUUUUCAGCGGCAGGGUCUGGGAAACUAGUCAGGAUCGAGAGGAAAGAUGAACGGAGCAAAGUACAGUGACAUUCUUGAUGGAAACCUGCUCCAGAGUGCUCAAGACCUCAGACUGGUGCAAAGGUUUACCUUCCAACAGGACAACUACCCUAAUCACACAGCCAAGACAACAUAGGAGUGGCUUUGGUACAAGUCUCUGAAUGUCCUUGAGUGGCCUAGCCAGAGCCCGGACUUGAACCCGAUCGAACAUCUUUGGAGAGACCUGAAAAUAGCUGUGCAGUGACUCUCUCCAUCCAACCUGACAGAGCUUGAGAGGAUCUUCAGAUAAGAAUGAGAGAAACUCCCCAAAUACAGGUGUGUGAAGCUUGUAGCAUGCCCAAGAAGUCUCGAGGCUGUUAUCGCUGCCAAAGGUUCUUCAACAAAGUACUGAGUAAAGGGUCUGAAUACUUAUGUAUAUGUGAUAUUUCCAAUAAAAAAUAAAAAAUAUAAACUCAGCAAAAAAAGACGUUCCUUUUUCAGGACCCUGUCUUUCAAAGAUAAUUCGUAAAAUCCAAAUAACUUCACAGAUCUUCAUUGUAAAGGUUUUAAACACUGUUCAAUGAACCAUAAACAAUUAAUGAACAUGGACCCGUGGAACAGUCGUUAAGACACUAACAGCUUACAGACGGUAGUCAAUUAAGGUCACAGUUAUGAAAACUUAGGACACUAAAGAGGCCUUCCUACUGACUGAAAAACACCAAAAGAAAGAUGCCCAGGGUCCCUGCUUAUCUGCGUGAACGUGCCUUAGUCAUGCUGCAAGGAGGCAUGAGGACUGCAGAUGUGGCCAGGGCAAUAAAUUGCAAUGUCCGUACUGUGAGACGCCUAAGACAGCGCUACAGGGAGACAGGACGGACAGCUGAUCAUCCUCACAGUGGCAGACCACGUGUAACAAUACCUGCACAGGAUCGGUACAUCUUAACAUCACACCUGCGGGACAGGUACAGGAUGGCAACAACAACUGUCUGAGUUACACCAGGAAUGCACAAUUCCUCCAUCAGUGCUCAGACUGUACGCAAUAGGCUUAGAGAGGCUGGACUGAAGGCUUGUAGGCCUGUUGCUUCUACACCUGCAUUGCUUGCUGUUUGGGGUUUUAGGCUGGGUUUCUGUACAGCCCUUUGAGAUAUCAGCUGAUGUAAGAAGGGCUAUAUAAAUACAUUUGAUUUGAUUUGUAAGGCAGGUCCUCACCAGACAUCACCGGCAACAACGUCGCCAAUGGGCACAAACCCACCGUCGCUGGACUAGACAGGACAGGCAAAAAGUGCUCUAAACUGACAAGUCGCGGUUCCUGAGCGUAUAUCAUUUGUUGAUUUUUUUCUUUGUUGAUAUUUUUUUAUUUUUUAUUUGAUUAAUUAAUUAAUAAUAAACUAAGCAAUGAAUUAAACUAAAAAUAAGCCAUUUUAUUAUUUUUUAUUUCUUUAUUACAUUUACAUUUAAGUCAUUUAGCAGACGCUCUUAUCCAGAGCGACUUACAAAUUGGUGCAUUCACCUUAUGAUAUCCAGUGGAACAACCACUUUACAAUAGUGCAUCUAACUCUUUUAAGGGGGGGGGGGGUUAGAAAGGAUUACUUUAUCCUAUCCUAGGUAUUCCUUAAAGAGGUGGGGUUUCAGGUGUCUCCGGAAGGUGGUGAUUGACUCCGCUGACCUGGCGUCGUAAGGGAGUCUGUUCCACCAUUGGGGUGCCAGAGCAGCGAACAGUUUUGACUGGGCUGAGCGGGAACUGUACUUCCUCAGAGGUAGGGAGGCGAGCAGGCCAGAGGUGGAUGAACGCAGUGCCCUUGUUUGGGUGUAGGGCCUGAUCAGAGCCUGAAGGUACGGAGGUGCCGUUCCCCUCACAGCUCCGUAGGCAAGCACCAUGGUCUUGUAGCGGAUGCGAGCUUCAACUGGAAGCCAGUGGAGAGAGCGGAGGAGCGGGGUGACGUGAGAGAACUUGGGAAAGUUGA